GAUGAAGAACGUAGCGAAAUGCGAUACGUAAUGUGAAUUGCAGAAUUCAGUGAAUCAUCGAAUCUUUGAACGCACAUUGCACUCUCUGGUAUUCCGGAGAGUAUGCUUGUUUGAGUAUCUGUAAACAUCUCAAAUCUCUCUUCAAUUGCUUCAAUUGGGUCGAGAGAAUUGGAUUUGAGCGAUCCCGACUCCUUCGUCAGAAAGAGGAGGGUCGCUUGAAAUGCAGGUGCAGCUGGACAUUCUUCUGAGCAAAAAGCAUAUCUAUUUAGUCCCGUCAAACGGAUUAUUACUUUUGCUUCAGCUAAUAUAAAGGUUGAAUGAACUACCAACGCUGAUUGCAGGAAAACAUGUUCGUUUAUUCGGACUUGUAAACUCGAUCUCAAAUCAAGUAAGACUACCCGCUGUACUUAAGCAUAUCAAUAAGCGGAGGA
RNAcentral lists this unclassified non-coding RNA (431 nucleotides) under soil metagenome. RNAcentral's name for it is "partial contains 5.8S ribosomal RNA, internal transcribed spacer 2, and large subunit ribosomal RNA". The stretch from base 1 to 120 matches the Rfam family "5.8S ribosomal RNA", at positions 35 to 154 of the family's 154-position model. The record is from RNAcentral.